RNAcentral lists this ribosomal RNA (253 nucleotides) under uncultured bacterium. Its description in RNAcentral is "partial 16S ribosomal RNA". It matches the Rfam family "Bacterial small subunit ribosomal RNA", at positions 524 to 776 of the family's 1533-position model. The record is from RNAcentral.
UACAUGUGGGGCAAGCGUUGUUCGGAAUUACUGGGCAUAAAGGGUGCGUAGGCGGUUUGUUAAGUCACUGGUGAAAGUUUUCGGCCCAACCGGAAAAUUGCCUGUGAUACUGGCGAACUUGAGUGCGUGAGGGGUGGGGGGAACGAGCAGUGUAGCGGUGAAAUGCGUAGAUAUUGCUCGGAAGGCCGGAGCCGAAGGGGCCCCACUGGUACGUAACUGACGCUGAGGCACGAAAGCGUGGGGAGCAGACAGG